AAGACCUUGCGCUUUUGGAGCGGCCGAUGCCUGAUUAGCUAGUUGGUGGGGUAAUGGCCCACCAAAGCUUCGAUCAGUAGCUGGUCUGAGAGGACGGCCAGCCACACUGGGACUGAGACACGGCCCAGACUCCUACGGGAGGCAGCAGUGGGGAAUUUUGGACAAUGGGCGCAAGCCUGAUCCAGCCAUGCCGCGUGAGUGAAGAAGGCCUUCGGGUUGUAAAGCUCUUUCAGCCGGGAAGAAAAGGUUGCGAUUAAUAAUCGCAAUUUAUGACGGUACCGGAAGAAGAAGCACCGGCUAACUACGUGCCAGCAGCCGCGGUAAUACGUAGGGUGCGAGCGUUAAUCGGAAUUACUGGGCGUAAAGGGUGCGCAGGCGGUUUUGUAAGUCAGAUGUGAAAUCCCCGGGCUUAACCUGGGAACU
This 423-nucleotide ribosomal RNA is filed under the name uncultured bacterium. RNAcentral's name for it is "bacterial SSU rRNA". It matches the Rfam family "Bacterial small subunit ribosomal RNA", at positions 207 to 622 of the family's 1533-position model. The record is from RNAcentral.